UGACUCAAUUGUUUUUGUAUGGUUCCCAGUUCCUGUCGACUCUGCUCAAUUUUAAGUGUAAUUGUUUUGAGUUCCUUGCUAUUGAGUGUCUUCAAAGGAGUCUUCAGGGCUUUGAGUCUGUCCCAUAUUUAUCUCAUGGUAUCUGUCUUCCCCUCCUGCCAAACUGUUGUCACAAUAUGUUGGAAAUCUCUGUGUUCAGCCCAUACAUUGAAGAAUUUGAAGUGCCUCUUUCCUUGCCAGGUUGGAUAGUUUCAAUGUUAGUAUCAUUGGGUUAUGAUCUGAAAUUAGGGGUACAUCA
RNAcentral lists this long non-coding RNA (298 nucleotides) under Nicotiana benthamiana. Its description in RNAcentral is "long non-coding RNA (NBEN_LNC022919)". Lineage: Eukaryota; Viridiplantae; Streptophyta; Magnoliopsida; Solanales; Solanaceae. The record is from RNAcentral.